RNAcentral lists this long non-coding RNA (398 nucleotides) under Zostera marina. RNAcentral describes it as "long non-coding RNA (ZMAR_LNC000666)". The record is from RNAcentral. Lineage: Eukaryota; Viridiplantae; Streptophyta; Magnoliopsida; Alismatales; Zosteraceae.
CAUCACCGUCUUCUUCACCAACACCUCCAUCAUAAUUAUUAUUUACUAUUAUUAUGUCACCACCUACCCAUCUACUUGGGAGUUUAAGUUCAUUAGUUGUCUCAGGUGGAAUGAAUUUACUGUUCUUCGCUACAAAGAUGGAUAAUAGAUGCAUAGAUGUUUUUCUUCUCAUUUCUUCUACUGAUUUGAUUGCUUGAUUUGACCGACUGAAAGAUAGAAAGAGAUAGAUAGAUGGGUAGAACGAUUCAUUGCUAUAGAUAAGAAAGGGAGAGAGAUUUAAGGAGAAGAUGAGCUUCUUUUAUUCUGAGUAUUGACUGACCUGUUUGUAAAUUUGGGUAGUUUGUUCUCUUUCUCUGCCCGCCCGGCCGGCCAUGUAUUCAUCUCCUACUUUUUUCAGG